GACGUAGGGGGCGAGCGUUGUCCGGAUUUAUUGGGCGUAAAGCGUGCGUAGGCGGCUGCGCAAGUCGGUUGUGAAACCCCGGGGCUCAACCCCGGAACUGCAUCCGAUACUGCGUGGCUAGAGGUAGGUAGGGGAGAUCGGAAUUCCUGGUGUAGCGGUGAAAUGCGCAGAUAUCAGGAGGAACACCGGUGGCGAAGGCGGAUCUCUGGGCCUUACCUGACGCUCAGGCACGAAAGCGUGGGGAGCAAACAGG
This 253-nucleotide ribosomal RNA is filed under the name uncultured bacterium. RNAcentral describes it as "partial 16S ribosomal RNA". It matches the Rfam family "Bacterial small subunit ribosomal RNA", at positions 524 to 776 of the family's 1533-position model. The record is from RNAcentral.